This 497-nucleotide ribosomal RNA is filed under the name uncultured bacterium. Its description in RNAcentral is "partial 16S ribosomal RNA". It matches the Rfam family "Bacterial small subunit ribosomal RNA", at positions 28 to 507 of the family's 1533-position model. The record is from RNAcentral.
GAUGAACGCUGGCGGCGUGCCUAAUACAUGCAAGUCGAGCGAACAGAUGAGGAGCUUGCUCCUCUGACGUUAGCGGCGGACGGGUGAGUAACACGUGGAUAACCUACCUAUAAGACUGGGAUAACUUCGGGAAACCGGAGCUAAUACCGGAUAAUAUAUUGAACCGCAUGGUUCAAUAGUGAAAGACGGUUUUGCUGUCACUUAUAGAUGGAUCCGCGCCGCAUUAGCUAGUUGGUAAGGUAACGGCUUACCAAGGCGACGAUGCGUAGCCGACCUGAGAGGGUCAUCGGCCACGCUAGAAAUGAGACACGUUCCAUACUCCUACGGGAGGCAGCAGUAUGGAAUCUUCCGCAAUGGGCGAAAGCCUGACGGUGCAACGCCGCGUGAGUGAUGAAGCUCUUCUGAGCGUAAAACUCGGUUAUUAGGGAAGAACAAAUGUGUAAGUAACUAUGCACGUCUUGACGGUACCUAAUCAGAAAGCCACGGCUAGCUACGUG